UCACUUUUUAUCCUCAUUGUUACACUUCUUCUUUUGUUUAGUCUCUCUUUCUAGCAUUUUUUUUAAAUGUAUAAAUCUUUGCCUUUCCAUUUCACUUUCCUUUUGUUUGAUUUUAUCUAUAAAACGCUUCACAGUGUACCUUAGCGCUCCAUUUUUUGAUAGUUUAUAAAUAACCAGUCACCCAUUGAUUAGUGCUUGAACUUCUAAUGCUGUCAGAAUGAAAGUGAAACUGUCACAAAAGAGGUCCAUGUUAAACGUGUGUCAUCAUUCAUCCCUUUGUGAAUUCCCUGCACUCUGCAGUAUUAUCACUCUGAGUUUCAUUCUGACUGGACUCAAAGGCUGCUCACACCAAAGCCUCUUUGUGCUUUUGCUAGAUGGGAGCUGUCCUGCCAUCAGGGCAUUGCUAAAAUCUCUUCAGAAGAGAGCACAUGAGACACACUGAGUGGCAAUAAUGGCACAGUAGGUUGACUCAAGAUUGAGUAGAAAAAGCAGGAGAAUGGAUAGAGUGAAAGAGAGAGCUCACAACAAAAACAAGUGUGUGCUGUCCGCUCUGUACGAUCACACACAGUCAAGACUUGUGUGUGCUUUAACUCACGUGCCUGGUCCAUGUCCUAAGGUAAAGAACCCCCUUCCUAACUCGCAUAGGACGAGGGGCAAAUCUAAUUUCAGUUUUCAGUUGUUGCUGUCCACUUCCCAAUGACAUGUGCUAUGAAUUAUGAACUUAAUUUGGGAACAAAUAGGAACAAAAUCCUCUCUGGAGGGGUUGUUGGCCUCAGUGUUUCACAGAACUGACUCAUUAAAUACCAUUGGGUAUGUCUUAUUAAUUCGCCUGUAAUGCAACAUUUCAUUACACGACUCAAAUUCAGCGCAAUCUAUGUUCAAAAACUAAACAUUCUACAGUCGUUGACCAAACUCCGCCCUAAAGCUCAGUUUUGCAAUGACUUGAAAAAUCAUCCUCCGUGAACCUUUGCUGGAGCAGUUCUGAGGAAAAUGACCCAACAGUUCUUGUUUAGACCCAUCAUAAUGUUUUGUAUUUGUGUUUAGGCUUUCAGUAUUGGAACGUUACCUUAGAUACCUUAAUUUAUUCAUUCAAAUUCUGCCAUUGUUUUGAUUUUUGUAGAAUAAAAGUAGACACUGGUUGUGAACUUAGUAAAAUAGUAGUCUUAGCUCAUUCUUGACCAAAGACAAUCUUAAACCUGCAGCCUCCAUAGGAAUGAACUAGAAAAUGUUGCUUUUACACACAGACAGAAGAUUGUGCAUAUGAACUUUGCCUUGCUUGACCAAAAAAAUAAGACACAGCAAAACUGUUGCAGCAACAUUCAUCCAAAACUGCUUGUUUCUCUCUCUCUGUCUUCCUCUCCUUUCUCUAUGUCCACAGUUGAAAAACAUACUGACUCAAGUGUCAGGAACAAAAACAAGUUGGCCAUCCUCACAUACUAAGAGAGGGAGAGAAUGAAA
Molecule: long non-coding RNA, 1458 nt
Organism: Carassius carassius (crucian carp)
Lineage: Eukaryota; Metazoa; Chordata; Actinopteri; Cypriniformes; Cyprinidae
Exons: 2
Source: RefSeq, a predicted model, not a curated record